AUGAAGAUGGUUGACAAUAUAGUUCGCUUUAACCGAUUCUUUAUGGCUCUUAAACCUUGCAUUGAUGGCUUUAAAGCUGGUUGUAGACCAUAUCUUAGUAUAGACUCAACUGCACUCACCGGUAAAUGGAGAGGUCACUUAGCCGCUUGUACAUCAAUAGAUGGGCAUAAUUGGAUGUAUCCUGUAGCAUUUGCAUUCAUUGAUGGUGAAACCGACGAAAAUUGGACAUGGUUCAUGUCACAACUCAACAAGGCAUUAGGUCAUGUUUCCCCUCUAGCUAUAUGCACAGAUGCAUGUAAAGGUUUAGAGAAUGCAGUCAAAAAAAUAUUCCCUCAUGCAGAUCAAAGGGAGUGUUUUAGGCAUCUCAUGGCUAACUUCUCUAAAAAGUUCUAG
RNAcentral lists this ribosomal RNA (393 nucleotides) under Triticum aestivum (bread wheat). RNAcentral describes it as "partial small subunit ribosomal RNA". The record is from RNAcentral. Lineage: Eukaryota; Viridiplantae; Streptophyta; Magnoliopsida; Poales; Poaceae.